This 647-nucleotide ribosomal RNA is filed under the name bacterium HN32-25. RNAcentral's name for it is "bacterial SSU rRNA". It matches the Rfam family "Bacterial small subunit ribosomal RNA", at positions 338 to 974 of the family's 1533-position model. The record is from RNAcentral.
CCUACGGGAGGCAGCAGUAGGGAAUCUUCCGCAAUGGACGAAAGUCUGACGGAGCAACGCCGCGUGAGUGAUGAAGGCUUUCGGGUCGUAAAACUCUGUUGUUAGGGAAGAACAAGUACGAGAGUAACUGCUCGUACCUUGACGGUACCUAACCAGAAAGCCACGGCUAACUACGUGCCAGCAGCCGCGGUAAUACGUAGGUGGCAAGCGUUAUCCGGAAUUAUUGGGCGUAAAGCGCGCGCAGGCGGUUUCUUAAGUCUGAUGUGAAAGCCCACGGCUCAACCGUGGAGGGUCAUUGGAAACUGGGGAACUUGAGUGCAGAAGAGAAAAGCGGAAUUCCACGUGUAGCGGUGAAAUGCGUAGAGAUGUGGAGGAACACCAGUGGCGAAGGCGGCUUUUUGGUCUGUAACUGACGCUGAGGCGCGAAAGCGUGGGGAGCAAACAGGAUUAGAUACCCUGGUAGUCCACGCCGUAAACGAUGAGUGCUAAGUGUUAGAGGGUUUCCGCCCUUUAGUGCUGCAGCUAACGCAUUAAGCACUCCGCCUGGGGGAGUACGGUCGCAAGACUGAAACUCAAAGGAAUUGACGGGGGCCCGCACAAGCGGUGGGAGCAUGUGGUUUAAUUCGAAGCAACGCGAAGAACCUUAC